This is a non-coding RNA of Xyrichtys novacula (pearly razorfish), 1389 nucleotides long. Lineage: Eukaryota; Metazoa; Chordata; Actinopteri; Labriformes; Labridae. The record is from the annotation of a GenBank genome assembly.
GUGUUGGUUGAACUUGAGUUUGUGGCUUUUUUUAAGUUUAAGGUGUGGAAUUGGUUGAACUUGAGGUUGUGGCAAUUUUUAUACUUGAGUUUGUGUUUUUGUUGAACUUGAGUUUGUGUCCUUUUUGAACUUGAGUUUGUGUCGUGUUUGAACUUGAGUUUUUGUGUUAUUUGAACUUAAGUUUGUGUUGUUUUUGAAUAUGAGUUUGUGGUGUUUUUAAACUUGAGUUUGUUUCGUGUUUGAACUUGAGUUUGUGGUGUUUUUAAACUUGAGUUUGUGUGUUUGUCCAACUUGAGUUUGUAUCGUGUUUGACCUUGAGUUUGUGGUUUGUUUGAACUUGAGUUUUGUGUUUGUUGAACUUGAGGUUGUGGUGUUUUUGAACUUGAGUCUGGGUUUUUUUUACCUUGAGGUUUUGGAAAUUGUUAAACUUGAGAAUUGGGUAUUGGUUAAACUUGAGGUUUUCGUGUUUUUUAACUUGAGUUUGUGUCGUGUUUGAACUUGAGUUUGUGGUGUUUGGUGAACUUGAGUUUGCGUGUUUGGUGAACUUGAGUUCGUGUUGUUUGUUGAACUUGAGUUUCUGUUGUUUUUGAACUUAAGGUUGUGAAAAUUGUUAAACUUUAGAACUGGGUAUUGGUUGAACUUGAGGUUUUCGUGUUUUUUAACUUGAGUUUGUGUCGUGUUUGAACUUCAGUUUGUGGUGUUUGGUGAACUUGAGUUUGCGUUUUUGGUGAACUUGAGUUUGUGUUGUUUGUUGAACUUGAAUUUCUGUUGUUUUUGAACUUGAGGUUGUGGAAAUUGUUAAACUUGAGAAUCAGGUGUUGGUUGAACUUGAGUUUGUGUGUUUGUUGAACUUGAGUUUGUGUCCCGUUUGAAUUUGAGUUUGUGGUGUUUUUGAACUUGAGUUUGUUUGUUUGUUUAACUUGAGUUUCUGUUGUGUUUGAACUUGAGUUUGUUUGUUUGUUUAACUUGAGUUUCUGUUGUGUUUGAACUUGAGUUUUUGGUGUUUGUUGAACUUGAGUUUGUGUGUUUUUUGAACUUGAGGUUGUGAAAAUUUAUAAAGUUGAAAAUCAGGUGUUGGUUGAACUUGAGUUUGUGGCUUUUUUUUAAACUUGAGUUUGUGUCGUGUUUGAACUUCAGUUUUUGGUGUUUUUGAACUUAAGUCUGUCUUGUUUUUAAACUUGAGCUUGUGGAAAUUGUUAAACUUGAGAAUUGGGUAUUAGCUGAACUUGAGUUUUUGGUGUUUUUGAACUUUAGUUUGUCUCGUGUUUGAACUUGAGUUUGUUGUGUGUUUGAACUUGAGGUUGUGGUAAUUGUUAAACUUGAGGUUUUGGUGUUUUGGUUGAACUUGAGUUUGUUUGUUGAACUUGAGUUCGUGUUGUUUGUUGAACU